AAGUGCUAAAUGGGGGAGAGGGAGAUGCAAGUCUUUUUCUCUGCCUCCUUGUUAUGCUCUCAUCUUAGGAAAUACAGAGAAGUGUCCCUGUGAAGGUCAGAGACUAAGAAAAAUGAAUUUGCAUCCAUAUUUAAUAUGACCUAUUUGCCUUUACUCAUAACUUCAAAAUAGCAGUAAGUUCCUGCUUCCUUAGGAAACCUUCAGUUAUUAUUCUGGACUUUUAUUCUGGUAGCAAAGAUUCUGUUCUGUAAGAAUCCUGUUUGAUGCAGGUCUCAAGAGAAUUUAGAUGUACUGCCAGCAGCAUUAAGAAAUUUCAGGCUUUAUUUUCGUUGGCUCCUUCCCAUCAGUUUGGAAUUUAUUUUUCACAUACAAAAGAGAGUCUUCUACCAAAGGAAACAGGGAAAAUAUUUAAUACUCUUGUACUUUUAAAUAUAUUGGGAACUAAAACUGGGAAGGUGCUGUUUUUCUUUCUUACUUACCUAAAUUGAAGUUGCCCCCAGUAAUUUUUAUAUUUAGCAAAAGCCCCCAGAAUCCAUAUUGGGAACUACCAUUGGGAAAUAGAAGUAGUCAUGCAAAUGAGGUAAAUAGGCUCCUGAGUUUUGCCAGAAUUCCACCAAAGUUUAAUCUUGGAAAGCCAAA
This 639-nucleotide long non-coding RNA is filed under the name Bos taurus (domestic cattle). RNAcentral describes it as "long non-coding RNA NONBTAT017910". The record is from RNAcentral. Lineage: Eukaryota; Metazoa; Chordata; Mammalia; Artiodactyla; Bovidae.